CCUCACUAAGGAAAAGAGGAAAGAAAGAAAGAACAAAACCCUAGUUAGAAAAUUCAAGAGAAAAUUUUGGAAUUUCAAGGAAUCAAGUGACGAAAGGUAAGAUUUUUCAAUUUUAGCUUGAGAUCUAUCUUUCUUAAGCAUUCUUUCUCAUUUUCCAUGGUUGAAAUUCAUGAUUUCAUGGUGGAUCCCUUGUUGGCCGAACCUAGGGGGAGAAGAUUUGAUGAUGAAUUUNCAUUUUCCAUGGUUGAAAUUCAUGAUUUCAUGGUGGAUCCCUUGUUGGCCGAACCUAGGGGGAGAAGAUUUGAUGAUGAAUUUAGUUGGAAAACAUGUUAUUCUAGUGUUUUUAGUUGGUUGGUGAUGUGUAGCAUGAAAAGCAAACAAGAAAAAUUCAUGUUCUUCCAUCACCCUCAUUGGCCGAAUCUUCCUUAUGGUAUGUUGAUGGUGGAUUUGAUUUUAUUUCAAGUGAUUUGGUUAGGAACUAAUGAUUUAUGGUAUAAAAAAAUCAAGUAUGAAAAACCAUAGUGUUUAUGUACCCACCAUGGCCGAAUUUCAUAAGGAACCUAGUGAUGAUGAUUCUUGUGAUAUCUUGUGUUAUUUAGUUAGAAUUUAAUGAAUGGUGGUGAUGGAAAUCGAAAAUGGUAAUUUUAAAGUAUAGUUCUUUGGUAAAUAAGUUGAAUAGCAAUGAGAAAGUCAAGCUCAUUGAGACGCUUUGGUGUAUUUUGGGACAUUGGAAGUGUGAUGAAUAUAAUUGGGGUCAAUUUGGAUGUUUUGGUUAAAUCAAAGGUGGAGAGUUCGAAUUAGGUCGAAAAUCGAUCCAUUCCGAUCACAAUUGAACCAACGUGUAACACCGUCUUUAAGUGACUAUCCGAACAACCUCAUGCAUUCAUAUAGAGCCUGAAAUAGAUUUAUAAUGACAUGACACAAUAUAUUGAAUUAUUUGUUGUGUAUUGUGUAUAGGUGGUGAGUCUUCUAACAAGGGUAAAGACAUUAUGCCAAAGGACCAAGAAUAGGAGUAUUUCGAACUCCCGAUAUCGUGAGUAACCUUAUUAUUGUCUUAAUUAUCUAAAGUAGUUUUUAUUCGCUUUUGUGAUUUUAUAGAAAAAUGAGUUUAAAUGGUAAAUCCUUAUGUUUUAUAGGUAAAAUGUGAUUAAAUGAAAUAAGUUUUAUAAAUCAUUUUGAAAUUAAAUGAUGAUUUUAGAAAUUGAGUAAUUGGAGACUGUUUGAUUGUGUUGUAAUUUAUGGUUUGAAUUGAAUGGCUUAUGGUGAUAUUGGCAUGCUUAUGGUGAUAUUGGCAUGAAUGGCUGAAUUGGAAAUUGUUUUGAAAUUGUAUGAAUUGUUUGUUUUGCCUUAACAGGCUGGGUAGUAAUAUAAUUGCAAUGUCAUGCUGUCGAAACUUUUAUUGAUUUGGUGGGAUAUUGAUUAGUCACUGCAGUGGUGGGUUUCAGUGGACCAGCCUAUUAGAAAGGGGCACGGUAAACCCGGUUAUAUUUUACCUCGGUACAAGAGGAGCGGAGGGUAUCUCCUGAGGUAAAGCUUUAGAGUUCACUACAAGCUGAACCACCACGUGAGGGUGAACUUGGCCAACGCCAAGGAACGGCUAUGUUUUAAAACGUACAAAUAUGAUUUAUGGAUAUACGACUUUUCUUUAACAGCCUUGACGGACUCGGUUGGAUGCCCCAGCCAAGGUAUCCCCGAGAAUGAGUUUUGGCGUGAGCCAAAUUUUUAAGAAAUUCAUAAGCCAUGUUGAUUAUUUGAGUGAAAUGAAUUUAUUUUGUUUAGUUGAAAUGAGUUUGAAACGUUAUGAAUCAUAGUACGAUGAACUAUUUUAAGUUGUCUCCAUUUUCUUGACUUUAGAUAUUUUACAUGAUGUUUGUUUACUCACUGAGUUUAUAUAAACUCACCACCCUCCUUGCCACUCAUUUCAGGCUCAGGUUAAUCUGUAGAUAGCUGAUUUCGUCAAGGGCUACAGUUGGAUUUGCAUCCUCAAAAAUCGUAGGUUCGCAGCCUUCGUUACUUUUGGUCCAUUCGGGGGGGGGGGGGGGGCACAUGUCAUUGUAAAUAAAAUUACACACUCUGGCUCACUGUAUUACUGUAUGUACGAAUUUAUUUUGCUUUUACGUUAUAAAAAUUAUUUAC
This 2136-nucleotide long non-coding RNA is filed under the name Theobroma cacao (cacao). RNAcentral describes it as "long non-coding RNA (TCAC_LNC001628)". Lineage: Eukaryota; Viridiplantae; Streptophyta; Magnoliopsida; Malvales; Malvaceae. The record is from RNAcentral.